UGGACAAGCUUAUUGUAGAUGGCAGA
This 26-nucleotide non-coding RNA is filed under the name Homo sapiens (human). The record is from RNAcentral. Lineage: Eukaryota; Metazoa; Chordata; Mammalia; Primates; Hominidae.